GUGGCUUAAUUUGACUCAACGCGGGAAAUCUUACCAGGUCCAGACAUAUGGAGGAUUGACAGACAGUUAACCAAAACGCAGCAGCUAGUUUAACAAAACUAACAGCUCUUUCAAGAUUAUGUGGUAGGUGGUGCAUGGCCGUUCUUAGUUCGUGAAGUGAUUCGUUCGCCCAAUCGCAUUUCCAAACAACUAACAACUCAGAAUGCUGGGCAAUAGGACGUUUAAAGUGGCUCCUUACACCUUACAAAGGAAUGGCUGAUGAGAAACAACUCGAUCCGCUCAGCGUUCUAUUGGAAUGCAACGGACGUGAUUGCAAGCUUUUGUUUUGAGUUGCGGUUUUACUGAAAGACUCUACAAUCCGCAAACUUCAAUGAUCUGAAGUAGAAAACCUACAUGCUACAGUGAGAUAUUGUGGAUAAACUUAAGCGACCGCUCCAACAUUGUGUUUUUUUAAAACUGAUGAAGGUUGCGGCAAUAACAGGU
This 483-nucleotide ribosomal RNA is filed under the name Globigerinoides sacculifer. Its description in RNAcentral is "bacterial SSU rRNA". It matches the Rfam family "Eukaryotic small subunit ribosomal RNA", at positions 1185 to 1461 of the family's 1831-position model. The record is from RNAcentral. Lineage: Eukaryota; Foraminifera; Rotaliida; Globigerinidae.